This 102-nucleotide transfer RNA is filed under the name Candidatus Jordarchaeia archaeon. RNAcentral describes it as "tRNA-Gly". Lineage: Archaea; Promethearchaeati; Candidatus Jordarchaeia. The record is from RNAcentral.
GCGGCCGUCGUCUAGCCUGGACUAGGACGUAGGCCCUCCAAGCCUGCGACCCGGGUGGCCACCGCGUUUAGCCAGGGAAUUCAAAUCCCGGCGGCCGCACCA